This 126-nucleotide small RNA is filed under the name Marmota monax (woodchuck). The record is from RNAcentral. Lineage: Eukaryota; Metazoa; Chordata; Mammalia; Rodentia; Sciuridae.
GCCAGGCAUGGUGGCAUAUACCUGUAAUCCCAGCGACUUGGGAGGCUGAGGCAGGAGGAUCUUGAGUUGAAAGCCAGCCUCAGAAACUUAGCAAGACCCUAAGCAACUCAGGAGACCCUGUUUCUA